UACGAAGGGGGCUAGCGUUGCUCGGAUUCAUUGGGCGUAAAGGGUGCGUAGGCGGCGCGGUAAGUCGGGUGUGAAAUCUCGGAGCUUAACUCCGAAACUGCAUUCGAUACUGCCGUGCUUGAGGACUGGAGAGGAGACUGGAAUUUACGGUGUAGCGGUGAAAUGCGUAGAUAUCGUAAGGAAGACCAGUGGCGAAGGCGGGUCUCUAGUACGGUACUGACGCUGAGACGCGAAAGCGUGGGGAGCGAACAGG
Molecule: ribosomal RNA, 253 nt
Filed under: uncultured bacterium
Lineage: Bacteria
Description: partial 16S ribosomal RNA
Rfam family: Bacterial small subunit ribosomal RNA
Source: RNAcentral